Molecule: long non-coding RNA, 631 nt
Organism: Ipomoea nil (Japanese morning glory)
Lineage: Eukaryota; Viridiplantae; Streptophyta; Magnoliopsida; Solanales; Convolvulaceae
Exons: 5
Source: RefSeq, a predicted model, not a curated record
AGUUUCGUCACUGACAUUUCCUUUUCCGGAGAGAGGAGCGCAGCAAAUCUGAAGACCCGAGAGUUGACGGUUAGAGUCGACCUGAUAAGAGUUCUAAGAUUGACAACGAGAUGAACUGGAUUCAGCGGAAAAUCUAUCUAUACAAUGUUACUUUUGGUCUCUACAUGCUCGAUUGGUGGGAGCGAUGUCUCUUCAAUAUUCUGGUGGUUGUGCUGUUGUGGUUUGUUUGUACAAGGUGUUUCGAUCUGCUUCAGAGUUCUCUGGAAGGAUAUAUGGCGAUGAGAUCAUAAAACUAUGCUUCUUGAAAAAGGAUCACGUCAUUAUGCAAAGAUGCCAUAAUGCAUAUAUCGUGAAAGCUCAUCAUGAACCCAAGAACAGAAGCUCCAGUCUUCAUUGUAACUAGAAAACAUAUAUGCCUGACUUGUAAGCUGAUGGUUUUUUUCUUCUUCUUCCUCUUUUAUCUUUCUUCUACAAGCUAGAACAGUAUUUGGAAACCUUUUUGAGUGAUUAUUUGUUCUGAUCAUACAGCUUCAUAACAGUUCAUAAUGCUGGCAAACCAGAUUAGAAUAUUUCUUCUAAUGUUGGAUUUGUUUGCUAUGGGCAAAUAGAAAUUUGGAAGACAUGGUUGUAA